RNAcentral lists this long non-coding RNA (203 nucleotides) under Medicago truncatula (barrel medic). RNAcentral describes it as "long non-coding RNA (MTRU_LNC004228)". Lineage: Eukaryota; Viridiplantae; Streptophyta; Magnoliopsida; Fabales; Fabaceae. The record is from RNAcentral.
AUAAUGAAAAAAUCUACCAUGUACAUUGAAAAGCUUUAGAUAUUUAAGAAAGAAUAUAAGAGAGUUGUUGUGCCGUGACAAAAGUCACUGGUUUAAAAGCAAAUUUCCGGUGGACUUCCGGUGUAACCUAAAAUUCAGUUUUGCUCUCCAAAAUUUACACAACUACGUGUUUGAAUUGUGCACUCGAGGCCAGCCUCACAAAC